RNAcentral lists this ribosomal RNA (253 nucleotides) under uncultured bacterium. Its description in RNAcentral is "partial 16S ribosomal RNA". It matches the Rfam family "Bacterial small subunit ribosomal RNA", at positions 524 to 776 of the family's 1533-position model. The record is from RNAcentral.
UACAGAGGGUGCAAGCGUUGUUCGGAAUUAUUGGGCGUAAAGAGCGCGCAGGCGGUCGUUCAAGUCGAGUGUGAAAGCCCCCGGCUCAACUGGGGAGGGUCAUUCGAUACUGAUCGACUUGAAGGCAGGAGAGGGAAGUGGAAUUCCCGGUGUAGUGGUGAAAUGCGUAGAUAUCGGGAGGAACACCAGUGGCGAAGGCGACUUCCUGGCCUGUUCUUGACGCUGAGGCGCGAAAGCUAGGGGAGCAAACGGG